GUCCAGACUCCUACGGGAGGCAGCAGUGAGGAAUAUUGGUCAAUGGUCGGGAGACUGAACCAGCCAAGCCGCGUGAGGGAGGAAGGUACAGAGUAUCGUAAACCUCUUUUGUCAGGGAACAAAGGCGGGGACGUGUCCCCGGAUGAGUGUACCUGAAGAAAAAGCAUCGGCUAACUCCGUGCCAGCAGCCGCGGUAAUACGUAGGGAGCGAGCGUUGUCCGGAAUUACUGGGUGUAAAGGGAGCGUAGGCGGGCUUGUAAGUUGAAUGUCUAAUCCACCGGCUCAACCGGUGAUCGCGUUCAAAACUGCAGGUCUUGAGUGAAGUAGAGGCAGGCGGAAUUCCUAGUGUAGCGGUGAAAUGCGUAGAUAUUAGGAGGAACACCAGUGGCGAAGGCGGCCUGCUGGGCUUUAACUGACGCUGAGGCUCGAAAGCGUGGGGAGCAAACAGGAUUAGAUACCCGGGUAU
RNAcentral lists this ribosomal RNA (466 nucleotides) under uncultured bacterium. Its description in RNAcentral is "bacterial SSU rRNA". It matches the Rfam family "Bacterial small subunit ribosomal RNA", at positions 329 to 793 of the family's 1533-position model. The record is from RNAcentral.